This is a long non-coding RNA of Ictidomys tridecemlineatus (thirteen-lined ground squirrel), 1390 nucleotides long. RefSeq lists it as uncharacterized. Lineage: Eukaryota; Metazoa; Chordata; Mammalia; Rodentia; Sciuridae. The record is from RefSeq and is a predicted model, not a curated record.
AACCCUGCCGCGCAGGCGCGCUGAUCUAGCCAAUCGGGACGGGCAUCCCGCGCGUGCGGCAGCCAAUCAUAGAGACUGAAAGAAGAUGCGCUCGGGCGCAGCCAAUCACAGAGGGCCUGGAGCCCGCUCGUUAGCGGAGGGGGUGGGAGAGGGACGACGACGCGCGACCAACCGCCGCUGCCGGGGGGAGGGGAAGGAGGGUUGGAGAGGAGGGAGCGCGCGCGGGUUGCGCGGGCGGCAGAGGCCUAGUUGGAGAGGCGGCCUCUGGCCUGGGUGGGGCCCCGACUCCAGGGCCCUAAGGAAAACUUUGUUCAGUCGGAAGUCAGGGCUCCUCCCAUUCUGGCAGUCUUAACUAACCCCGUGCCUGGAGACUGCAGCGUGAAUGACCCGAGGAAGGCCAGGCCUGGCGGGAGAAACCGGGACCAACGCCUCUAGUCAGCAGACCGCCCCGGGACUGUGCAGGGCGUCCGCUGGUCCUCAGGCGUCUACCCCAGGAGUCCUGGUGCCUUUAACUCAGUCUUUGCAGGCACAUUCCCCCGGGUAGACACUGCAGACAGCGAAAAAUUAGAGCCGGUCCCUGCCGUGAUGGAAUUUUCAGUCGAAAAAUAAGGAAAUGACUCUUGGAUCUUUGACGUUUUCCACGAUUAAAACAUUUACAAAAUGGAAAAUUAAAAUAAUCCUUGAAGAGGCAAAAAUUGAGCCUCACAAAAGAAAGAAAAAGUUUUAAACCAACAGAUUUAAGUAUGUAAAGAUUUGUACAUGGCAGAAGACACCAAAAACAAAGUCAUGUGACAAAUUCGCAAAUAUUCUUCACAUGUUCAUUCAACAUACUGCAUGGAACACCUGCCAUGUAGACAGCAUCAAUGAUAUAGGAGUUAAUGUUUGGAUCUGAACCCGAAGGCUUAUAUGUGGAAGUCUUGGUCCCCAAUAUAGCACUGUUAAAAGUUCUCGGGGGACACAACAUCUUUGUUGGUAUGUGGUGCUGAGGAUCGAACCUGGGCGGCACGCAAGCCAGGCAAGCCCGCUACUGCUUAAACCACAUCCCCAGCCCGAAGUGACUGGAUUAUGAGGACUUCAAUCACAUCAAUGGAUUAAUCCAUCUGAUUUGUACCUGAAUGGGCUACUAGGAGGUGGUGAAAACUGUAAGAGGUGGGACCUAUUUAAAGAUGUAGGUUUUUGUCUGCCAUCUCCACAAUUGAUACUCCCCCUGCACCCUCAACCAUCUCCCCAUCCCUACCUUUUCUGUGGCCAUGGGGAUGAGCCACUCUGCUCCACUAUGCUCUUUCCCCCAUGAUGCUUUCCCUUACUAUAGACCCAAAGCAAUGGAGCCAAACAACCAUGGACUGAAAUCUCUAUAAUCUUGAGCCAAAAUAAAUAUUUCCUUAAUUAA